UACGGAGGGGGUUAGCGUUGUUCGGAAUUACUGGGCGUAAAGCGCACGUAGGCGGCUUUGUAAGUUAGAGGUGAAAGCCCAGGGCUUAACCCUGGAAUUGCCUUUAAGACUGCAUCGCUAGAAUCGUGGAGAGGGACGUGGAAUUCCGGGUGGAGCGGUGAAAUGCAUAGAGAUCCGGAAGAACACCGACGGCGAAGGCAGCGUCCUGGCCGAGCACUGACGCUCAGGCACGAAAGCGCGGGGAGCAAACAGG
This 253-nucleotide ribosomal RNA is filed under the name uncultured bacterium. RNAcentral's name for it is "partial 16S ribosomal RNA". It matches the Rfam family "Bacterial small subunit ribosomal RNA", at positions 524 to 776 of the family's 1533-position model. The record is from RNAcentral.